This 253-nucleotide ribosomal RNA is filed under the name uncultured bacterium. RNAcentral's name for it is "partial 16S ribosomal RNA". It matches the Rfam family "Bacterial small subunit ribosomal RNA", at positions 524 to 776 of the family's 1533-position model. The record is from RNAcentral.
UACAGAGGUCCCAAGCGUUGUUCGGUUUCACUGGGCGUAAAGGGUGCGUAGGCGGCGUGGUAAGUCUGAUGUGAAAUCUCCGAGCUUAACUCGGAAACUGCAUCGGAUACUGCUUCGCUCGAGGGUUGGAGGGGGGACUGGAAUACUUGGUGUAGCAGUGAAAUGCGUAGAUAUCAAGUGGAACACCAGUGGCGAAGGCGGCUAUCUGGACAGAGUCUGACGCUGAGGCGCGAAAGCUAGGGGAGCAAACAGG